This 644-nucleotide ribosomal RNA is filed under the name uncultured bacterium. RNAcentral describes it as "bacterial SSU rRNA". It matches the Rfam family "Bacterial small subunit ribosomal RNA", at positions 755 to 1397 of the family's 1533-position model. The record is from RNAcentral.
GAAAGCGUAGGUAGCGAACAGGAUUAGAUACCCUGGUAGUCUACGCCGUAAACGAUGGUUACUAGCUGUUCGGGCAAAUUGAUGUCUGAGUGGCUAAGCGAAAGUGAUAAGUAACCCACCUGGGGAGUACGUUCGCAAGGUUAAAACUCAAAUGAAUUGACGGGGGCCCGCACAAGCGGUGGAGCAUGUGGUUUAAUUCGAUGCAACGCGAAGAACCUUACCUACUCUUGACAUCCUGCGAACGUGUGAGAGAUCACUUGGUGCCUUCGGGAGCGCAGAGACAGGUGCUGCAUGGCUGUCGUCAGCUCGUGUUGUGAAAUGUUGGGUUAAGUCCCGUAACGAGCGCAACCCUCGUCCUUAUUUGCCAGCACGUAAUGGUGGGAACUCUAAGGAGACUGCCGGUGACAAACCGGAGGAAGGUGGGGACGACGUCAAGUCAUCAUGGCCCUUACGAGUAGGGCUACACACGUGCUACAAUGGCCGGUACAAAGGGCAGCGAGCUCGCGAGAGUCAGCGAAUCCCUUAAAGCCGGUCUCAGUCCGGAUCGGAGUCUGCAACUCGACUCCGUGAAGUCGGAAUCGCUAGUAAUCGUGCAUCAGAAUGGCACGGUGAAUACGUUCCCGGGCCUUGUACACACCGCCCGU